RNAcentral lists this ribosomal RNA (515 nucleotides) under uncultured bacterium. RNAcentral's name for it is "partial 16S ribosomal RNA". It matches the Rfam family "Bacterial small subunit ribosomal RNA", at positions 28 to 523 of the family's 1533-position model. The record is from RNAcentral.
GAUGAACGCUGGCGGCGUGCCUAAUACAUGCAAGUCGAGCGAAUGGAUUAAGAGCUUGCUCUUAUGAAGUUAGCGGCGGACGGGUGAGUAACACGUGGGUAACCUGCCCAUAAGACUGGGAUAACUCCGGGAAACCGGGGCUAAUACCGGAUAACAUUUUGAACCGCAUGGUUCGAAAUUGAAAGGCGGCUUCGGCUGUCACUUAUGGAUGGACCCGCGUCGCAUUAGCUAGUUGGUGAGGUAACGGCUCACCAAGGCAACGAUGCGUAGCCGACCUGAGAGGGUGAGCGGCCACACUGGGACGGAGACACGGCCCAGACUCCUACGGGAGGCAGCAGUAGGGAAUCUUCCGCAAUGGACGAAAGUCUGACGGAGCCACGCCGCGUGAGUGAUGAAGGCUUUCGGGUCGUAAAACUCUGUUGUUAGGGAAGAACGAGUGCUAGUUGAAUAAGCUGGCACCUUGACGGUACCUAACCAGAAAGCCACGGCUAACUACGUGCCAGCCGCCGCGGUAA